RNAcentral lists this non-coding RNA (137 nucleotides) under Aurantiochytrium limacinum. The record is from RNAcentral. Lineage: Eukaryota; Bigyra; Thraustochytrida; Thraustochytriidae.
UAAAAUGAAGUAAAAUGAGAAAGAAGGCCAAUAAACGGAGAGGAAAGCGGAAGGAAGAAAGGGCGAUAGAGAAGAAAAGCCUCUUUUUUCUUCUUUCUUCUUCUUUUUUCUUCUUUUUUCUCGUUCUCUCUCUUCUU